Molecule: long non-coding RNA, 617 nt
Filed under: Heterocephalus glaber (naked mole-rat)
Lineage: Eukaryota; Metazoa; Chordata; Mammalia; Rodentia; Bathyergidae
Description: lncRNA (ENSHGLG00100037261.1)
Source: RNAcentral
GGGAGAGGGAAUCCAGCUACCACCACCCAAAGCCAGCGUCUGCUUUCUGUCCUCAUUUCCUUUUCCCACCCAGCUCGGAGAGCAGAGAAAGGCAGAGAGAGCGAGAAAUAGAGACAGGCAGGCAAACAGACAGACAGACAGAACGGGAGGGAGGAGGGCGGCGGAGGAGGAACAGGAGGACUACGCGGGGCGCGUUCCCUCCCAGAUGGGAGCUUGCCUGAUUGUCUACCCAUCAACCUGGACCCCAGAGCCUGCCCAGCUGAGUGUGUGCAGAGGGUCCCAGGUGAGGGGCGCUGCUCAGGCCUCUGCAGAGACCACCCUGGAGACACUGACAGAGAGAGGCCUUUCCUACUGAGCCUGGCCUCUCUGCACAGCCUGUUCAGAAAGAAGAACUGAGGCUCAUGGAUAUACACUAAGCCCCCCUCCCCCAAUCCUGCCACCUAGCCUGAGGACUCUUCCCUGCACCUUGAUAACCUGAGAGAACUGGGAGGAGAAAGGGGUUGUGACAAUGACCAGGACUCAGGGCAGAGGUGGAAACAAGUGUGCCUGAUGUAUGCAGCUGAUCCCCCAGGACAUCUCUCUACUGGAGUCUGGAAGCAGAGAGCUGGGAGGCCAAG